This 760-nucleotide ribosomal RNA is filed under the name uncultured marine Syndiniales. Its description in RNAcentral is "SSU rRNA". It matches the Rfam family "Eukaryotic small subunit ribosomal RNA", at positions 634 to 1420 of the family's 1831-position model. Lineage: Eukaryota; Dinophyceae; Syndiniales. The record is from RNAcentral.
UUGGAUAUCUGUGAGCGGGUUCCGGUCCUUCCCAGUGAAGAUUACACGGAACUCUGCUCGCAUUUGUUCAGGGAGGGUGGAUGCACUUCACUGUGUGACCACAUGAUCUGAAUUUUUACUUUGAGGAAAUGAGAGUGUUCCAAGCAGGGAAUCGCCGUGAAUAUGAUAGCAUGGAAUAAUAGCACAGGACUCUUGGUUCAAUGGUGUUGGUUAAUUGAACUAGAGUAAUCACAAUAAGGAUAGUUGGGGGUAUUCGUAUUUAACUGUCAGAGGUGAAAUUCUUGGAUUUUUUAAAGACGAACAAUUGCGAAGGGAUCUAUCCGGAUGUUUUUGUUGAUCAAGAACGAAAGUUAGGGGAUCGAAGACGAUCAGAUACUGUCUUAGUCUUAACUUUAAACUAUGCUGGCUGGAGAUUGGAGUCGUCAGAUUUGUGACGUCUUCAGCAUCUUAUGAGAAAUUUAAGUCUUUGGGUUCUGGGGGGAGUAUGGUCGCAAGGGUGAAACUUAAAGGAAUUGACGGAAGGGUAUUAUUAGGAGUGGAGCUUGGGGUUUAAUUUGAUUUAAUACGGGAAAACUUACCAGGUCCAGACAUAGAUAGGAUUGACAGACUGAUAGCUCUUUCUUAAUUCUAUGGGUGGUGGUGCAUGGCCCGUUCUUAGUUGGUGGAGUGAUUUGUCUGGUUAAUUCCGUUAACGAACGAGACCUUAACCUGGCUAAAUAGUGUUCUGAACCUCGGUUCACGGUCUACUUCUUAGAGGGAC